AACCAAAGUGUUGAGCUCAGUUCAGGGUGUUGCCCCUGUUCUGGUAAUUAAGCUUUGGGACAAUGAGUGACUGGGAAGCACACCAUGGUGACUGAAACCCCAAGGUGUUUUAUGCCACCUGUGUUUCUUGGCCCACAAAC
Small nucleolar RNA from Falco tinnunculus (common kestrel), 140 nucleotides. Lineage: Eukaryota; Metazoa; Chordata; Aves; Falconiformes; Falconidae. The record is from Ensembl.